AUUAGGAAUCUUGCGCAAUGGGGGCAACCCUGACGCAGCGACGCCGCGUGAGUGAUGAAGUCUUUCGGGAUGUAAAGCUCUGUCCUGCGGGGAAGAAGGAUGUGACGGUACCCGCAGAGAAAGCCCCGGCUAACUACGUGCCAGCAGCCGCGGUAAUACGUAGGGGGCGAGCGUUGUCCGAAUUUACUGGGCGUAAAGCGCGUGUAGGCGGUCUUUUAAGUCAGUUGUGAAAUCUUGCGGCUCAACCGCAAAACUGCAUCUGAAACUGGAGGGCUUGAGCGUGGGAGAGGAAAGUGGAAUUCCUGGUGUAGCGGUGAAAUGCGUAGAUAUCAGGAGGAACACCCGUGGCGAAGGCGGCUUUCUGGUCCACUGCUGACGCUGAGACGCGAAAGCUAGGGUAGCGAACGGGAUUAGAAACCCCUGUAGUCC
This 429-nucleotide ribosomal RNA is filed under the name uncultured bacterium. Its description in RNAcentral is "bacterial SSU rRNA". It matches the Rfam family "Bacterial small subunit ribosomal RNA", at positions 354 to 796 of the family's 1533-position model. The record is from RNAcentral.